GGACCAAUUUGUUGGUCGUGCCUCGGUACGUACUGGUAUUAUUGGUUUCUCCCUUCUGAAGAACCUUGAUGUCAUUAAUUUGGUGUCUUGGGGAAUCAGGACUGUUACUUUGAAAAAUUAGAGUGUUUAAAGCAGGCUCGCGCUUGAAUACAUUAGCAUGGAAUAAUGAAAUAGGACGUUUGAUUCUAUUUUGUUGGUUUCUAGGAUCGACGUAAUGAUUAAUAGGGAUAGU
Molecule: ribosomal RNA, 232 nt
Filed under: uncultured Glomeromycotina
Lineage: Eukaryota; Fungi; Glomeromycota
Description: partial 18S ribosomal RNA
Rfam family: Eukaryotic small subunit ribosomal RNA (bases 46-232)
Source: RNAcentral